GCUGAAUUUUGACGUAAUUUCUCUUGAUGUUGCUAGCAGGUGGCAGAGGUGUGUUUGAAAGUCAGCAGUAUUUUGACAGCGAUUAGAAUGUCCUCCGUCUGCUAGUCUUCUUGAUUCUUAAAUUCUGUGGAGCUCAAAUAGACAACAAAGCUUGUGGAACUGAUUAAGCGUUAGCAUAAAUAUCUAGCCUUUAUCAUGUUGAGACUCCUUAAUAAAUAUUACUCCCUAUUUUUAUAUUUUUGUUUUUAUAAAGCAGAAAAAUAUUUAUUUUAUUUUUAUGCCACCACAGUGAAUGUACCUAUGGGUUUUAUGCCAUGAGCAUACUCACAUGGGGCUUAAUAUUUUUUUAACAUUUUUAUUUUCUUUUCGAGAUAGCAUGAACCUGAUUAACUAAGCAAACUAUAAUUGAAUAAUUGAAAGGAAAAGGAUAACUACCAAGUUUACCUCUUGGCAAGGCGUUCGGUAUUUUUAAGUCCUCCGAACGGGACUCUCCGUUUUCUUAGUCGUCCUGGGAUUUGCUGGGUGGCGUAGUCGGUGGUUCCGGCGGCGACUCCUCUUCGUGUAUAACUAUCUUCUCUUUCCACACCUGACUCGGUGCUACGGUCUCCUCACGACAGUUCUGUUCAAGUUGUAUGUCUUCAGUCCUUAUCACUUCUCCUUCGUAGUCUACCCAUCCGUCCGAUUUGCCUCCUCUGGUUGCGGUUUGUCUUCUUCUUGUCCUGACCUGCUUAGAAUCUUCAACUAUAUAAUCAUUAAAGUAGUGGCGUACCUUUCGCAGAGGGGAAGUGCAUGUGGACUUCUACGGUUCCAAUAUAGAUAAUGGCUUUGAUAGUGCUGAGGAACGGUCUUCCAAGGAUGGUGGAUGGAUCAUACUCAUCUUCUCCUAUGUCAAUGACCUGAAAAUUGUUUGAAGCUGAAUGUAUCUUGGUUGUAGGGGCAUGGUUCCAUGCAGGAGCUGAUAAGUGACUGCGGCCAUUAUGUUGUCGUCAGAUCCGGUGUCGUAGAGUGUCUUCUAAAAAGAGUAUCCAUUGUUUGUGCAUUCGAUUCUUGGAACACCAGGGUCAUCCUUCUUGAUCAAGAAAGGUGACUUGAGUCGACGAUCUUGACCUCCUUGAGCUGCAGUGACCAUCUUAGCUGACUUAGUCCACAUUUGCUUGUUCCUGUUCCUCCUGUUGGUCCUCUUCCUUGGUUCAUGUCAGGAUUGCUCUGAAGUUUGUGUAGUCUUGUUCUUGAAGGACAGUCUCCUUCUUCCCUAUGAUGUAGAGACUGAUCUUGGCAGCAUUAGCGUAGAUGACAUCUCUGGUGUUUAGGAAUGGCCUCCCUAAGAUGAUGGGUGCCCUCUCCUCAUUACCAGUCUCUAUCACCAUGAAGUUUGCUGGAGUGUACAAGGUACCAACUCGGACACAGAGGUUCUUCAAUAUUUCCUUUGGGAAACUAAGUGUCUGAUCUCCAUUGUGUUUGUGCUUGUAGAUCUCGGUUCUUCACUUGAUGGAAUCUGGGAGUUGUAGAACGCCUUCACGUUUCUCAAAAUGUGUCCUGCUCACACAGACAAGGCAGAGAUCAAGUGCAUGGGCCCUGUUGGUGGAAAACACCAACAGAACCAAAAGUGUAUUUGUUCUUCUCUAACCUUAAGCAUAGUGAGCAAGACAAAGUUGAUGGAUCAUGAGUGUAGCAUUUAAAACAUUUGUUAGAUCAGAUGGCUCAACCUAAUGGAAAGAUAAUCUAUCUAUAUUUAUGUUUUGUUUAUAUCUUCCAAAGAUUGAAUGUGCAAUACUUUAACUUAUAUGAUUAGGAGUGUGGGAUCACGAAGGUAGUACUAAGAACAAAGAUUAAAGGACCAAACAUGUUGAAUUAAUUGGGUUGAUUAAUUUGGAGCUACAAAUCAUACAUGUUUGUCUCUUUAUUUUAUGUGAACGCUAGAACCAAGGAGAAGCUUAUAAAAGUGAUAGUCAAGUACCUUAAAAUGUUACCUUACUUGAAGAGUGACGGUACAGUAUCACCUUGUGGAAGCUUUCCUUUCUUAGCGGUUGUGCAUCGUGUUUGUGGCACCCUCCAUGAAUCAUCUCUUACGAGCUACGUCUUUCUUGUGCAAAUUGUUUAAACUUCAUGUGUCACUAUCUCCAAUGUGAGUUUAUUUCAGGACUUCCCAGGUUGAUAUUGAAAGUUUUCCUGUAGGGGUUAGUCCAACAAAAUAUCCCAUAUCUACUAUAGCAUACUAUCGGCUCAAAAAUCAACCUAGACACCAUGUCUAAUUUGAUUUAGGAGGGCAUUUUAACCUAAGCACCAUGCUUAAUUUAAAAAUCCUUUGGAAGUAAGAUCAUCAUUCCUAAACUAAGCACCAUGCUUGAUUUAAGAGAUAAAUGAAACUACUCCAAACCUAGACAUAUACUAAAGCAAAUAAAGGUAGCAUGAGAGCAUUUAUAGCGAUCUACUCAAAUGGAGGUGAAGUAGUGUAAUUAGUACUUAACAAAUUGAGCAUCUCUCAAAGGUAAGGACAACCAACAUAGCAACAUGGCAAAGGAUGUUUUUAUGUGAAGUACUCCCCCAAGCUUGAAUUUUGCAAAAUUCAAGUUUGGAUGAAUUUAAUUCAAUGUUGUGUGAUGGUUGGUUGGACAUACCUUGUGCUUGUCAUUCAUCCGAUCUUCUUGCUCCAAUCCUAGAAAGGUUAGUGACAAGAAUACCCGAAGGAAUAUAUCUACAAUUAUCUUUAUAUGCUCAAUACACAAGGCAAUGUUGCAAAUAAUUAGAAGUGCUCGUUUUAGGACACUAAGCUUGUCCUUGGGAAACCAUCAAUUAACUCAACGAGAUCUGCAAUAUUUAUUAUAGACAUAUGCAUCGACAACCGCUCUUUUAAAGUUUUUAUAAAUAGAAAAGAAGAGAGGGUUGGAGAUCUCAAAUGUGAUAAGGAUGGAGAGACUAAUUGAUUGGAGAGAUGUUUUAUAUGAGCAAGGACUGGGUAAGGUAUUUAUGAAAUAACUUCCAUGCUCACUGUUGUUUCUCUCAUUCUCAAACUCCAAGGAUGAUUCUUCAUGAAUGCUUAAAAUUCCUCUAGGAUUGUCUCUCAAAUUUGUUUUAUCUAUCCAUUCAAUGGUGAUAGCACAUGGAUUUUUAAUGCCCUUUAGCCAUUGAUGUUGCUCUUCUCGAUCCUCCUUCUUAUGCAUGGGAUGUCUAGAGAGAUUCAUAGGAUUAUCGGGAGGUUUAAGAGAAAGAGCAUAGUAGAAUUUAUUAAGCUCAAGGAUGGGUUGGAUAGCCGAAUUAUGGGAUUGAAAUGUUUGGAAAUCUCUAAGAUUUUUCUAUGAAGACUAGUACAAGAAGGAUGUCCACGAAUGAAGACAUACCUUCCUUUACUAAUAGAUAAAGAAAGAAGGACUCUACCAAAGGUUAUAUAAUUAAGACCAAUGUGAAAAUAUUCAGGAAAAACAUGGUCUUGUUGGGCUAGGUCUAAACCAUAAUUUAUAGAAAGAUUAACAGAUUCCUUAGGUGUAGCUAAAAGUGCAUUAUCUUCUUGAUUAAAAGAUAGGACCUCAGCUAUAGAAAAGGGUUGGUUUUGACCUAUUGCAAUCAACUCCGGACACAGAUCAUAAUUAGGGGCAGGACGUGUUGACUCCCAUGGUCUAUGGCUGGUCUCCGAAGGUGCAAAGAAUUUAAUAAUAAGUAUGGAAUUUGAGUUAUCCAUAAAGAUAAAAACAAAAAGAUAAAAGAAUAAAAGUAUAAAAGUAUAAUACAAGAUAAUAGCAAGAUUCAAAGUUAUCUCAGCAAACCGUCUUUCUCCCCGGCAACGGCGCCAGAAAUGCUUGUUGAUAUUUGGUAACGCAAUUAGAAAAUGAUCCGCAAGCGCACGGAUAUCGGUGAGCAUUUCACCCGGGAGGUUAUCCAGAGUUAUCGUAUUUAUAUUUUUACCACUGGGAGAAAGGGUGCAUCUGACUAACCAAAUCUAUUGCUACUAUCCCUUUAGACUACAAAGAAUGUCUCUCGAUGUGAGUGAUGUAUAGAGAAGACUGCAACCGUAGUCUCGUUCUAACCUUGGUAAGGAUGAUCUACUGUUCUAUUGGGGAGGCUCACGGAAUCUAGACAACACAAAGGAUGUUCGACCCGCACCUAUAAACCUACCCGUCCUGCUAACGAGAUGUGAUCUGCAAAGGUAACUCGGAAAUGUCACGUUCCUCGCUACUACCACGGUCCAGCUAGUCAGGGGAUAUCUAUGAGUACCCUAGCCUAAACACCACGUUUACGCUAACAAGUGAUUACUCUAAUACUCAACCGGAAGAGGAUUAAAGUAAACUCAUAAACCAAAUAACAAUAAAACAAGAACUUACUAGUAUUAGAAGUCGAAUUACUGAAGAAUCUUAGAAGCAAGCAUCGGGUUAGGAGACUUGAUCCCGCAGGUACAACUCGGAGUAGACACCGACAGGCCGGCCUUCCUUCGAUCCAUACCUCCACUCUAUCUCUCUCAAUCCAGUAGAAACUAGAAGAUCUAUUUCUACUUUACAUUGGUUGCUAAGCCUAAAAAGAAAUAUUAUUUAGAGAAGAGGUUUUCCUUCGAGGGCACCCCUCAAUCUCUAUGAUAAUUUCUUGUCUCCUCCAAGGGCCAGAGGGGGUCUCCUUAUAUAGUCCUCCCCUUCUAUGCGUUUUUGGGUCGAUAGGCGAGGUGGUACUAUGUUAUUCUGGAUCUAAUAUGUCGGUGGAACGUUGUGUGCGAAGAGAGUCCGGAACGGAGUCCAGAGGGGGGCGGGCGCCCAGGUCCUCAGGGCGGGCGCCCUGGGCCUGGCCCCUUUCGGGCUCCGCUUCCUUCCCGUGGCUUCUGGAGUCUUCUAGAUGGUAGAAAAUUGCGCGGUGGGUUGAUAUCUCUAUGUAAUCCCGACAUGUGGGCCUUUCUUCCUUAUUUCCUGAUAACCCCCUGCAGAAAUAGACAAACACCAAAACUCGUGGAAUUCUGUCAGAUAAAACCCUAAGUCUAGAUGUUGAUUUCAUUUGGAUCCUUUUCUUUGUUUAUUUUAUAAGUAAAUUUGAUACUUAAGGACCGUCAACACACGUCUAAUCUAUUAAUUACUACUCUAGCGUUAUAAAGACUAGAGCACUUGAUGCAAGCGGGAAUCCAAUAAAUAACUUGAAUGUAAAUAAAAGUAAUUAGAGAACUCAGGAAUUAUGAAUUGAAGAACCUAGAGAAUGAUGAAGAACGACCCAGUUGCUGCAAAAGUAGAAUGUUGAGGAAGAUCCGACUGACCCGGCUCCUCCUCCGCUCACCUCUUCUCUCUCGCUAUUUUCUAGAUUACAACUAGAACUAACUAGAACUAGAACUAGAGGAACUAGAACUAGAACUAGAUGAACUAGAACUAGAUCUAGAUGAACUAGAGGUAGAACUAGAAGAACUAGAGGGAUCCUCUCUACUUGGAUGAAGAAUUGAAACCCUAACUUUGAUUCUGUAGAAGAGGUAGGAUCUCCAGGGGCCAGGGGGUCUGGUUUUAUAGUCCCUUCAAGUGAAUAUGGGCCGUUGGAUCAAACCGACAUUAAUUGCACGGUUUUCCUUGAUCCUUUAGGACGGUGGAGUGUUGUCCCUGAAUUGGACUCUGUUUGGUGGAAAAAGGUGGGCGGGCGCCCUCAGGACUAGGGCGGGCGCCCUGUCCCUGAGGCCUCUCGGCUUCCGCUUUGUUCCCGUGGCUUCUGGAGUCUUCUAGAUGAUAGAAAAUUACGUGGCACAUUAAUAUCUCUAUGUAAACCCGACGUGUGGGCCUUUCUUUCAUAUUUUCUGAUAUCCCCCUGCAGAAAUAGACAAACACCAAAACUCGUGGAAUUCUGUCAGAUAAAACCCUAAGUCUAGGUGUUGGUUGCAUUUGGAACCUUUUCCAUGAUUAGUUGAUGGUUAAAUGUGAGCAUUAAGGACCGUCAACAAGCUCCCCCAAGCUUAACCUUUGCUCGUCCCUGAGCAAAGAGGAACUCAAGAGUUUCUGCAGUGGUUUCAUACCUUAAAGAUAUACAUGCGUUCAAACAAGAUCUCAUCUCUGGGUUAGGGUAAACUGUUAGAUUUAAAUUUACUCAUUUUACCUUCCACCAUGGGACUUGUAACUGUCACUUCUAUCUUGAGUAGUUAAAAGAUAGAACGGUCUAGUCAAGCGUCAUGUCUCUUUUUCUUCGAUUAACUAUAGCUCUGGAGUUUUUGCAGAUUUUCAAAUAAAACUUAGAGAUUCCUUGUAUGACUCUCUCUAGUCUCUCUUUUGUGGUAUUUCUGGAUCCUUACCAAGACAGUAAUGGUGUAUGCCUUCUCUCAAAGUAUGUGGUAUUUUUGGUAUGAGGCAUAGUGACAUUGCCUUCUCUCUCACCCUACUCUAAUAAGGCUUUUGAUAUCUGGAGCUCAUAGGUGGGAGACAGCUAAUACAUACUUACAAGACAUUUAUUGCAUAGUCAAACCAUGGAUCCACAAGAACAAGUCAAUAAGUCAAAUCAAGAUGUGCAUGUGUGGUGAAUGAAUGGUGUAUGGUGAUGAUGGUGAUAAUGGUAAAAAUCUAAUUCUACUUUUGCUCUUUUGAGGGGGUACAUACCUUUCUUUCUCUUUUGAAAUUUUUGGAGAGAAUGAGAUGCUCUGUAUUUUUUUGAGGGGGUACAUACCUUUCUUGGUCUUUUUUCUUUUCUUUCGAGGUUCCGGGCACUUGCCCCUUUUUAUUUCCUCGUAUUUUUUUCUCUUUUUUUUAUUAGAGCACUCAUCUCCUAAAAUAAUAUAGCAAGUGGUAGUAACCAAGAUAACUUGAGCAUUUAUUUCACAUGGAAAAACAAAAAUGUUUUUGGCUAUUCUCUCCCGGAUUAGGAGUAGAAUAUUUUUAGGUGAUUCUAGAGAUGGAAAUUGGUGGAUAUAUGUGGAUGCGUACUUCAAGAGUAGAAGCAGCAUGUAUGAGUGAACGUGCAAGUGAAUCUUGAUUUUAACCACAUGACAAGCUCCUAAGGGUCUACACAGCUUGACCACACUCAAUGCUCAUAAGCAGUAAAAAGUAAAUGUGUGGCUCAAAGUUUAGCAAGCAUGUAUAUAUGGCUGUGGUAGGAAUUUAAACUCUCAUCAUACAGGAACUCAUCAUGCAACAUUUUAAAGAUUUUCAAAGAUAAAAUUCUCUAGAAUUCUAGCAUUUUUAGGAACAGAUAAACAGCAGCUCAACCUUCCCAUAUCGUAUCCGUUAACAACUUAGACUUUAGAUCAAGUACUCUCCCCACAUGUUUAGGUUUAGAGCAAAUCUUAAUUAAUACCAGUCAUGCCUAAACUUAAGAGAGAUUUCAAUUUAAGAACUAGCCAUGGCAGAGCAAUUAUUCAUCAUUUCCAUGUGAGAGCUUAUCAUGAUGGUUCAUAGCAAACUUUAUUUAUUUAUUUAUUUAGCAAACUAAGCAAAGAUAUAUAUAUAAGCACAAAAUCUUUAUUUGGUUUUUUAUGAUUAUGCAUCUUUUUAUUAUUUGAGUAAAGUAUAAAUGUGAGUAGAACACUUAGCUGGAUAAAUGGAGUUGCUCUCCCCCAAGUUGGGUUUUGACGUAAUUUCUUCUGAUGUCGCUAGCAGGUGGCGGAGGUGUAUUUGAAUGUCGACAGCACCCUGACAGCGAUUAGGAUGUCCUCCGUCUGCUAGUCUUCUUUGAUCUUUGAAUUCUGUGGAGCUCAAAUAGACAACAAAGCUUUGUGGAACUAGUUAAGUGUUAGCUUAAAUAUCUAGCCUUUAUCAUGUUGAGCCUCCUCAAUAAAUGUUACUCUCUUUAGUAGGAUCAUAAAUUUAUUUUUAUAAUUUUAUUUUUAUAGGACAGGAAUAUAUUUAUUUCAUUUUUACGCCACCACAGUGAAUGUACUUAUGGGUUUUAUGCCAUGAGCAUACUCACAUGGGGCCUACUAUUUUAAACAUUUUUAUUUUCUUUUUAAGAUGAUAUAAACCUGAUUAACUAAGCAAACUAUUUUAAAUAAUUGAAAAGAAAAAGAUAACUACCAAGUUUACCUCUUGGCAAGGCGUUCG
This 7973-nucleotide long non-coding RNA is filed under the name Sorghum bicolor (sorghum). RNAcentral's name for it is "long non-coding RNA (SBIC_LNC008719)". The record is from RNAcentral. Lineage: Eukaryota; Viridiplantae; Streptophyta; Magnoliopsida; Poales; Poaceae.